GGCGCCGUGGCUUAGUUGGUUAAAGCGCCUGUCUUGUAAACAGGAGAUCACGAGUUCGAAUCUCGUCGGUGCCU
RNAcentral lists this transfer RNA (74 nucleotides) under Centruroides sculpturatus (bark scorpion). Its description in RNAcentral is "tRNA-Thr". It matches the Rfam family "tRNA". Rfam says of the family: Transfer RNA (tRNA) molecules are approximately 80 nucleotides in length. Their secondary structure includes four short double-helical elements and three loops (D, anti-codon, and T loops). Lineage: Eukaryota; Metazoa; Arthropoda; Arachnida; Scorpiones; Buthidae. The record is from RNAcentral.